UACGGAAGGCAGCAGUGGGGAAUAUUGCACAAUGGGCGCAAGCCUGAUGCAGCCAUGCCGCGUGUAUGAAGAAGGCCUUCGGGUUGUAAAGUACUUUCAGUCGUGAGGAAGGUGUUAAGGUUAAUAACCUUAGCAAUUGACGUUAGCGACAGAAGAAGCACCGGCUAACUCCGUGCCAGCAGCCGCGGUAAUACGGAGGGUGCGAGCGUUAAUCGGAAUUACUGGGCGUAAAGGGCACGCAGGCGGUUAAUUAAGUUGGAUGUGAAAUCCCCGGGCUUAACCUGGGAAUGGCAUUCAAGACUGGUUAGCUAGAGUCUUGUAGAGGGGGUAGAAUUCCAUGUGUAGCGGUGAAAUGCGUAGAGAUGUGGAGGAAUACCGGUGGCGAAGGCGGCCCCUGGACGAAAGAACUGACGCUCAUGUGCGAAAGACGUGGGGAGCAAACAGGAUUAGUAUACC
Molecule: ribosomal RNA, 456 nt
Filed under: uncultured bacterium
Lineage: Bacteria
Description: bacterial SSU rRNA
Rfam family: Bacterial small subunit ribosomal RNA
Source: RNAcentral